CAGAGCCAGGCAGGGAAACACUCGCGUUAUAUAACCGGGAGCAGCUCGCCCCUCCCGGCGCUCCCACACCCCGACCGACCGACCGACAGCCCGACAGCAAGCCCGAGCAGGGGCGGCCGCACGGCGGCAGCGGGGGGUGGAAGUGGGGGGGCCGUGCCUCCGCCCCCAGCACGGGGAAGGGGCCAGAUGCAGCUUAAUGUCCCCAGUGGCGGGUCGGGGGAGGGACCAAGCGGUUUUACCCCCUCGGGGCCGGAGGCGGUGGCAGGCUCCCGUGCCGAGAGGCUCCUUGCAAGCGGCCGGUCCCCGAUAGCUCAUCUGCUUCCGACGGGACGAGAAGCGGCCGUUCUCCCCGGGAUCCCUUCGAGUCACCUUGGUGACAACCCCCUGCCAGCCGAACCCGAACAAAAGCCGCGGUGCCCCUUGGCCGAGCAACAGGCCGGGGAAGGCGGCGGCGUAGGUCUCGCCUCUUGACCGGGGCUCUGGAAGAAUACGCGGGACCGAGUCAGCGAGCGCCUUGUUUACCCGACAAUCGCUCUAACCCCCGAUCUUAAUCACAGGAUGAGAAACCAAAACAGUUUAAACCGUGA
Pezoporus occidentalis (night parrot) is the source of this 587-nucleotide long non-coding RNA. RefSeq lists it as uncharacterized. Lineage: Eukaryota; Metazoa; Chordata; Aves; Psittaciformes; Psittacidae. The transcript has 2 exons. The record is from RefSeq and is a predicted model, not a curated record.